This 400-nucleotide ribosomal RNA is filed under the name uncultured bacterium. Its description in RNAcentral is "bacterial SSU rRNA". It matches the Rfam family "Bacterial small subunit ribosomal RNA", at positions 28 to 418 of the family's 1533-position model. The record is from RNAcentral.
GACGAACGUUGGCGGUGCGCUUAAUGCAUGCAAGUCGAGGGAGAUCCAGUCGUUCCGUAAGGCGCGGCUGGGGAAACCGGCGAACGGGUGCGUAACACGUGAGGAACCUGCCCCGAAGACCGGGGUAGCCCGGGGAAACCCGGAUUAAUACCGGAUACCCUCUUUGGACCACAUGGUCUGUUGAGGAAAUGGUCCGCUGCUUCGGGAUGGCCUCGCGGCCUAUCAGCUUGUUGGUGAGGUAAUGGCUCACCAAGGCAAAGACGGGUAGCUGGUCUGAGAGGACGAUCAGCCACACUGGGACUGAGACACGGCCCAGACUCCUACGGGAGGCAGCAGCAGGGAAUAUUGCACAAUAGGCGAAAGCCUGAUGCAGCGACACCGCGUGCGGGAUGAAGGCCUU